RNAcentral lists this ribosomal RNA (969 nucleotides) under uncultured Alphaproteobacteria bacterium. RNAcentral describes it as "bacterial SSU rRNA". It matches the Rfam family "Bacterial small subunit ribosomal RNA", at positions 11 to 1018 of the family's 1533-position model. Lineage: Bacteria; Pseudomonadati; Pseudomonadota; Alphaproteobacteria. The record is from RNAcentral.
GUUUGAUCCUGGCUCAGGGUGAACGCUAUUAGUAUGCUUUACACAUGCAAGUCGAACGGAACACUUCCGUGGCGUCCGGGUGAGUAGAUGUGCAGAAUGUUACCUUUUAGUUUAGAACAAAGUAUUCUUUGAAUAUUAAAUUCUGAAUAUAUUGAAAGGUUUUUUAAAAUCCGCUAAAAGAUAGGUCUGUGCAAGAUUAGGUUGUUGGUAUAUGUAAUAGCUUACCAAGCCUACGAUCUUUAGUUGGUCUUAGAGGAUGAUCAACCACAUUGGAACUGAAAUAAGGUCCAAGCUGAUUUUUUCGGCCAGCAGUGAGGAAUAUUGGACAAUGGACGAAAGUCUGAUCCAGCAAUACUAUCUGAAUGAUGACGGCGAAAUUCGUUGUAAAAUUCUUUCGUUAAUGAUGAUAAUGACAUUAUUUAAAGUAAGUUUUAGUCCCGGCUAAUACUCGUGCCAGCAGCCGCGGUAAUACGAGAGGGGCAAGCGUUAUCCGACAUGACUGGGCGUAAAGAGUUCGUAGACUGUACAAUAAGUUAGAUGUUAAAUUUUAAAGCUUAACUUUAUAACCACCAUUUAAUACUGUUGUGCUUUGAGUUUUAUACAGAAGAUUAUAAUUUUGUUUGUAAGAGUAAAAUCUUAUUAUAAACAAAGGAAUGCCAGCGGCGAAGGCGUAUCUUUAGUAAAGACUGACGUUGAGGGACGAAAGUAUAGGUAGCGAACAGGAUUAGAUACCCUGGUAGUCUAUACUGUAAAUGAUGAGUGCUGUAAUUUAAUGGUAAUAUUACUUUAGAUUUUUAAGCUAACGCGAUAAGCACUCCGCCUGAGGAGUACGGCCGCAAGGGUGGAACUCAAAGGAAUUGACGGGGGCUUAAAACUAGUGGUGGGGUAUGUGGUUUAAUGCGAUAAUCCGCGCAUAAUCUUACCAAUUCUUGACAUUUUAAUAACUUCUUUAAUCGUUUAUAAGAGCCA